This 307-nucleotide ribosomal RNA is filed under the name uncultured bacterium. RNAcentral's name for it is "bacterial SSU rRNA". It matches the Rfam family "Bacterial small subunit ribosomal RNA", at positions 28 to 334 of the family's 1533-position model. The record is from RNAcentral.
GAUGAACGCUGGCGGCGCGCCUAACACAUGCAAGUCGAACGGUUAAAGCACCUUCGGGUGUGUAUAAAGUGGCGAACGGCUGAGUAACACGUGGGCAACCUGCCCCUCGCACCGGGAUAGCCUCGGGAAACCGUGGUUAAUACCGGAUACUCCGGGACCCCCGCAUGGGGGUGCCGGGAAAGCCCUGACGGCGAGGGAUGGGCCCGCGGCCUGUUAGCUUGUUGGCGGGGUAACGGCCCACCAAGGCGAUUAUGGGUAGCCGGGUUGAGAGACUGAUCGGCCACAUUGGGACUGAGACACGGCCCAA